CUGGCAAACCUGAAGCAUGACUCACUGAAAAGCGCAGGCGCAGUUCCGGAGCUUUCAGCCGCCCAGCGUCCACGGAGAUCUUCCGGUCACCGGGACUGGGACAACUUCAAGGCUUAGCCAAUCCAAGCCCACAGGCUGGCGCACGUGGUCCUGGGACCCAGCGCAUGCGCACUAGGGAAAUGGCGCCUGCGUAGAGCGAACGGCGGCGGCCGUGGGACUGGGCUCGCGCGGCUUCCUGGAGGAGGAGCUAUGGCCCCGCCCCUGGCCCGAGAGAAAGAAACUGCACUUUCGUUUUUUAGCAGCAAAGGUUGUUGACGUACUUUACAACUUAUCUUUUCUGCUUCUACUCAGGACAGUCAAGACAGUGCUCAGCUAGAUGUUCACAUAACCGUAGACAUAAAUGUGAAUCUAUUUAACGCAGUAAUUAAUUCAAAAAGUGUUUUUAGCAUCCUAGCAUGCAACAGUUGAUAUGAAAGUAGUAAAUGUUAAUUGAGUGGUCAUGUGCAUCCUGGACGUCUCAUCUGUGCACAUUCUCAUUCUUUGCCUGCAAAGGGCCAGUAAAAGCACAGUGAUGGUUGAACGAAUGUGACAGCCUCCUAUGCUGAUGCCUUACUCCAAGAAAUUAAAUCGUCUAACUGAUAUCUUAUGGUCUGAUUGGAACAGGAUUUCAAUAGCAGCCCUGGGAAAGACAGGACAACCUGCUACCUUGUAAUUCAGAUAAAACAUCAGCCUUUUCACAGUUCUGACCUAUGAAGACAUCUCCAGAUUUGAACACAAGAUUGAAAUUUGUCGAUAAAAACAACUGUCCCACACCUUGGUAAAAAAACCCUUCCACAUAGAUACACGCUGAUGCCUGGGGGAGCAGAAUGGAGAGAGAAACUAACCUUGCCUGGGAAAGAGGAGGAAAAUGUCCAGGCAGUCUGGAAGAUAGACUGGAGGGAGACAGAAUGGAAGAAAAGAUACCAGUUGGCUCAGAAGACAGAUUCUGGUUGCUUGGACUGCAGCAGUAGCAGUGGAGUCACUAUGGGGGAAGUCAGCUAACAGUUGUGAGAACAUUCAAACAGCCCUAUGGAGAGGUCCACAUAGAGAGAAGCUGAGGCCUCCUGCCAACAGCCAUGUGAGUACACCAUCUUGGAAGCAGAUCCUCCAGCCAGAGUCAAGAUGUCAGAUGACUACAGCAUUGAUCAACAACUUGAUUGCAACCUUGUAAAAAACUCCAAGCCCAAGCAGUGUGGCGAUUCCUCAAAGAACUAAAAACAGAACGACUAUUUGACCCAGCAAUCCCAUUUCUGGGUAUAUACCCAAAGGAAUAUAAAU
Molecule: long non-coding RNA, 1317 nt
Organism: Chlorocebus sabaeus (green monkey)
Lineage: Eukaryota; Metazoa; Chordata; Mammalia; Primates; Cercopithecidae
Source: RefSeq, a predicted model, not a curated record